CGGCACCAAGCGGAUUCCCUUGGAACCAACUGGAGUCGUGCAAUUCAAACAUUCCUCCCAACGGCCGUCUAGCACCGACGAAUGUCAGUGCACAACAGUGCCGGAUAUACCUCGCUCCCGGAGCUAUACGAGAUACGCUGCUGCCGUAAACCGACGGAAACAAUGGAGAGACGCUCCAGAGUCUAUCCUGCCCGCUUCCCUGUCCUUGGGAUGAAUGAGGAGAUUGGCCAGCAGUACUCAAAGUGUAACCAACGAAAGGCGUUUAUUGGUAAGACUUCAUGUAACUCUUCUGAGUAAAACUGAGUAUUAACCUUCUAUCACUCUCUCCAAUGCUGAUCGUUGGUGAAUCGUGCUUCAACGGAGCAAAAGAACAGAGCAGAACGUAUGCGGGCCGGCAGGCGUCGAUGCUUAUUCACUACCUCGAGAACAACGACGACGACGAUGAUGAUGAUGCGAAGAUUUUUUUUUAUUAUUUCGUGUUAGCGCCGCGAAGCAACUGUGCCUGUGAGUGGCAUAUACAGACGUGAACGGAUGGAGAGAGGACA
Molecule: long non-coding RNA, 545 nt
Organism: Ornithodoros turicata
Lineage: Eukaryota; Metazoa; Arthropoda; Arachnida; Ixodida; Argasidae
Exons: 3
Source: RefSeq, a predicted model, not a curated record